AGGGGUAUAGCUCAGUGGUAGAGUGCCUGCUUAGCGUGCCCAAGGUCAUGGGUUCAAUUCCCAGUACCUCCA
RNAcentral lists this transfer RNA (72 nucleotides) under Camelus bactrianus (Bactrian camel). It matches the Rfam family "tRNA". From Rfam's summary of the family: Transfer RNA (tRNA) molecules are approximately 80 nucleotides in length. Lineage: Eukaryota; Metazoa; Chordata; Mammalia; Artiodactyla; Camelidae. The record is from Rfam by way of RNAcentral. RNAcentral also lists the same sequence under 2 other names.